CAUUAAAAAUUUGAUUCACUUUUAUUGUUAAAAAGUGGCGUGAUUGAUAAAAUAACUUGAUAGUGAUAUGUGACGUGCCAUAUAUACCUAAUGCUGAGAUAUAGGUAUUAAUUUUUCACAAAAUAAAUAAAUAAAAUUUUUAACA
RNAcentral lists this microRNA precursor (145 nucleotides) under Gossypium hirsutum (cotton). RNAcentral describes it as "MIR7502 microRNA precursor family". It matches the Rfam family "MIR7502 microRNA precursor family". Lineage: Eukaryota; Viridiplantae; Streptophyta; Magnoliopsida; Malvales; Malvaceae. The record is from Rfam by way of RNAcentral.